This 351-nucleotide ribosomal RNA is filed under the name Triticum aestivum (bread wheat). RNAcentral describes it as "partial small subunit ribosomal RNA". The record is from RNAcentral. Lineage: Eukaryota; Viridiplantae; Streptophyta; Magnoliopsida; Poales; Poaceae.
AUUUUACAUCUUUGAAAUAGCGAGAAUUUACAAUGACAUCAGGUUUUCUGUGCUUCACUAUUUUUGCAUGUGGAGAGAAUGUUGGAGGAGCCAUUUUUAUGCCCCGGUAAUUUUCAUGUAAACCUAAUGGUAACUGGAGUACCACAUAGGUGAUAACUCAUUUAGCCUAAGUCUGAUAACUUUUCAUCCGAAAAAAAGUCAUCGAAACAUACCAACAUGGGAUCUAGUUUUGGAGGUCUCGUCGCGACGAAUCUUUUAUGUGAAAACGGUUUUUCAAUCGGACCAAUGGUUUGAGCUACAAAACAUUUUGAAGUUUCAAAAUAUGAAGAAUCUUUGCUAACAUCAUCUGUU